AUAUAAAGCAACUGGGGAUUUUAUUAAAAUACAGAUUAUGAUAUAUUAGAUAUGGUGGGGUGGGUCUUAAGAUUCGAUAUUUCUAAUAAGCUCCCAGAGGAUACCGAC
RNAcentral lists this microRNA precursor (108 nucleotides) under Marmota monax (woodchuck). Lineage: Eukaryota; Metazoa; Chordata; Mammalia; Rodentia; Sciuridae. The record is from RNAcentral.